This 205-nucleotide unclassified non-coding RNA is filed under the name sea anemone metagenome. Its description in RNAcentral is "partial contains small subunit ribosomal RNA and internal transcribed spacer 1". The record is from RNAcentral.
ACGCCAUGGAAAUUGGUUCCAUUUGAAAAUAUUUAAAAAACAAUAUUAUUUUUUUUUUAAGUAAAAAUAACCUUUUUUUUAUUAUUCUUUUUCUAAAAUUAACGUUGUUUUUUAACUUAUUUAUUAUGAAGUUAAGGACUGGGGUGAAGUCGUAACAAGGUAGCCGUAGGUGAACCUGCAGAAGGAUCAAGGGCGGAAGCGGGAU